Pistacia vera is the source of this 256-nucleotide long non-coding RNA. RefSeq lists it as uncharacterized. The record is from RefSeq and is a predicted model, not a curated record. The transcript is spliced from 3 exons. NCBI's taxonomy places the organism in Eukaryota, Viridiplantae, Streptophyta, Magnoliopsida, Sapindales, Anacardiaceae.
UUUUCAUUGACAAGGGAAACGUUUCAGAUGAAGAAUACAGAUGGUUUGCUGCAUUUGUACGCUUAUUGGGCUCAUUUGGAGCUAAAUUUGGGAAAAGAUCAAGCUGCAGCUGGUGGCUUUUGGGAGAGCCUGCGGGUCAAUGUUGGAAGCCUGGCAAGGUUAUAUAGCUAUGGAAAUUGAAUUGGGACAUUUAAAUGAAGCUAGGUCCAUCUACAGGAGAUGCUACAGUAAAAGAUUUAGUGGGACAGGUUCAGAG